AUGCCCGGCGCCGCGCCUCCUUUUGCUCACCCGAUUCCGAUUUGUGUUCCUGCAGGUUGGAUCGAGGGCAUUAGGCAGGAGAUGGACGUGGAGGGCAAGAUGAAUUUGGAGAUUGGAUCCAAGGACAUGGAGGUGGAGAGCAAGAACCUGAAGCUGGAGGAGCCACUGCCUUCCUCCGCGAUGGACAUGGACGAGCCUGGUGUUGCUGAGAGUGGCGAGGUGGAUGACAGCAAUGGCAGCUCCAAGGAGUGCCCCUUGACCCCCAGGGAUUCCAUGACCUCCAAGGUUCCUCUGGCCAAAGAGCCGAGAUCAGUCAGCACCGACUUUGGGGAUGAGCUGGACCUUGAGCUUGGGAGUGGAGAGCCAGAGCCCGGCAGGCAGCAGGAGAGGAAGCUCUCAAGGCAAGACCGGAUGGAGCUCAGCCAGUUGUUCCAGCAUGCCGUGAGCGCUCAUGAUUGGGAGUGCGCCGAUGGCUUGCUGGCCAAAGCUGAUGCACAGGGACUCAAUGAUGUGCUCUGCGUGGCGGUCGAUGCCAUUUGGUUCUUGAGCGACAAGGAGGAGCUGUAUGCCAUCGUCGCCUUGAUCAAGAGGAUUGUGUCGGCGGGUGCGAAUGAUUUCACACGCGCCGCGCUCCGGACAUCGUUCCUGGCAUCGUGUGUGUCGGCAUGCAGGGGGCGGACGACCAGCCUCGCCGAUGCCGUGAGCUUCAUGGGUCAAAAGUUGCAUGAACGCCUCCAAGAAUCCCAUGGCGAUGAGGUAUUGAAGGCAGAGGCAAGUGCAAAGGUACAUAAGUUCACAGAAUGGGCUCUGAAGUGCAUAGGAUUACACGCCCGUGUGCGGGCGAGUAGGGGCAAAGGAAACCAUGGCACAAUCAUUGAGGUUCAGCUUCAGCUAUCUGCUUUCAAGACAUUUCUGGAUAUUGCUGAUAAUGAUCUUACCGGGAAAGAUUUCACUGAGGCCUUUGAUGCUGCAUGCUUUCCUCUUACACUGUUCUCAAGCACCUUUGACCAAGGAUGGGCUGCAGGGAUCUCGGCAGCUGCUAUACAAGGUCUGUUAGAGCUGUUGGUAGAGGGUGGCGCAGACAAUGUGAACCAAUGCUUUCUUGAAGCUGCACGCUAUGGAAGCACUGAACUCGUUCGCAUCUUACUUCAGAUUGCUCAAAGGAACAGCUUGGACAUUGAUGUGGAUCUAGCCCUUGGCUUUGCUGCCCACUACGGGAAACUCGAAACCAUGGGGUGCUUAGUUGAGGAAGGUAAUACUGUCGCCUUCCUUGGCCCUUUAAUGCGGGCAGCUGAGCGUGGAUGCUUUCAAGUUGUGGAAUGGUUUGUGAACCGUGGCUGUCGGGACAUGGAGCUUUGCCUGGCCCUUACUGCUGCCACCUCUAGUAGCCAGGUUGAAGUUGCUGCGUAUCUCCUGCCUCUAGUCCCCCAACUUGUUCUUGCACCACUCAGCAUCGAGAUUGUUAAGGCUGCUGGCGAGAGGAGCACAGGUUCCCUCCAAGGUGUGGAUUUUCUUCUCCGGUCGGACUUCCUCAAUGACCCAGCCGCCACAUAUGCUGUAGCAGACAGCAUAGCAAGAUGCGCUGAUGAGGCUGUAGAUGCGAAGCUUAGGCUGUUCAUGCUCGAGCAGUGGUCAGAGGAAGCCUUCAACAAGGGAUUCGUGUCUUCACAAGAGCACUUUGUCAACAUUACAAGGAUAAUGCAAAGGGGCGAGUCGCCGGUCGUCCUGAGACAGCUCCCGCUUCAGCUGGUGAUCGCCAUGGCCUACCUGCCACUGUACAGGGAAUGCGUCGGGUCAGGUGGGCGGCUUCUGCCGCAGAGGCUAAGAGGCCAGCUCGUGGAGGCUGCAGGCAGGCUGGAGGGCCGGCAACUGGACAGGGGCAUGCAGCAAAGCGAGCUGCUGGCCAUCCUGGAGCACCACCUCCCGCGUUUUCUCGUUCAGACUUGA
This 1947-nucleotide ribosomal RNA is filed under the name Triticum aestivum (bread wheat). RNAcentral describes it as "partial small subunit ribosomal RNA". The record is from RNAcentral. Lineage: Eukaryota; Viridiplantae; Streptophyta; Magnoliopsida; Poales; Poaceae.